UACGUAGGGUGCGAGCGUUGUCCGGAAUUAUUGGGCGUAAAGAGCUUGUAGGCGGUUUGUCGCGUCUGCUGUGAUAAUCCGGGGCUCAACCCCGGACUUGCAGUGGGUACGGGCAGACUAGAGUGUGGUAGGGGAGACUGGAAUUCCUGGUGUAGCGGUGAAAUGCGCAGAUAUCAGGAGGAACACCGAUGGCGAAGGCAGGUCUCUGGGCCACUACUGACGCUGAGAAGCGAAAGCAUGGGGAGCGAACAGG
This 253-nucleotide ribosomal RNA is filed under the name uncultured bacterium. RNAcentral describes it as "partial 16S ribosomal RNA". It matches the Rfam family "Bacterial small subunit ribosomal RNA", at positions 524 to 776 of the family's 1533-position model. The record is from RNAcentral.